CUCUUAUCUGCCUAAAAUUCAACUUUAAAAGAAAAGGAUCUCUUAAAGGGAAACGACUUUUGGCUCACGUAUGCAUACGAGAAUGAAACUUCUGUACAUUUUAAUCUGAUUAAUUCCUAAGGAUUUAAAGUUAAUUGGCUUGGGCACUCCUAGACCGGACUAUAAGAUUUCUGCAUCAGGGUUUCUGCGAGCGCUGUACCGAAUAGGAACCGUGCCUCGCAUGCUGUUGUCAGAGCAAAACACUUUUGCUGCUUAAAGUCAGAUCUACGUCCUUUGCAAUAAUACUUAAAAAAAAAAAAAAGGAUAAAUAAUUGCCUUAAAGCCUCAGCCGAACUGCCAACCACACCUUCGGAUGUCAGAAGGCAGAAAUAUGUGAACUGCUGAGAGAGCUACCUUCUUAAUCGACGGCAAAUCCCCGCUCUGGAGGAUCAGGCCCUAUCUGGGCUACUUCUCAGCCAAGGAAUGUAUCCGUCCCUUCAUCUCCACAUAUCUUACCUGUGAUGUAUUCUACCUUUUGAGGAGGGAAUAAUAUGGUAUUUACCACAAAGCACAGCUUCAAAGCCUUUGUGUGUUUCUCAUCUCCAGCCAAAGCUUGUUAUUUACCACCUUCAAAAUUUACCCGGGUAAGGGAUAGUAGCAGUUAUUGUCUUCAUUUUUACAUCCUAAUUUUCACGCAGGAAAUGCCCUGCAUUAGGGCCAGAUCCUCACUCAGGUGGAAGUUAUUAACUUUAAGCAGAAUGGAGCCUAUUUCAGCCAGCCGCAGCUCGUGCCCUUCUAACACAGUCACUUUACAGCAUCCCCUUGUUUAUUUUUUUCUUUGGAGGGCAUGAUUCUUUAAACAUGUUUGUUUUACAGGGAGCAGCAGUUGAUUCCUAACUUUUUUCCCCCCCAAACAUGUAAAGAGAAUAUUAAAAGGGAAUAUUAAUAGAGCUGAGUGCAGCAUGACGCUAGUUAGAUUGUAGUAGCUGAGAAAUAUGAACUAGUGAACAUAAUCCAUAAACUCCAUUUGGUUACUAUAAUACUCCAAUCUGUAUUUAUUACAACCCCACUCUGAUGCUUAUACAACUGCAAUUGCUAGAUUUAUACACUCUAAUGGCUUCACAAUAGGAAAAACCUGUGUUCUUUAUCUUUCUUUUCCUGUCCAAAAUAACCCCUUCCACAUAUACUUCAGGCUUCUCUGGACCUUGUCUGGGUUUAAUCACGGGCUGUGGGACAAAAUGUGCAUUAUUAAGAAAUAUAAAUAUUUUCAGAAGCAAUCAAAGGGUUGAAAGAUUGAUUCGGCAUGUAGAUUGGAUUUAAUUCGAAGCAGCUUUGUUCUAAUGAGGACUACUGGGAUACAAAGACAGCAGCCGCUUAUGGCCACCAGUUGGGAACUUCGACUCGCUGCAGCAACCUGUCAAGAAUUUCAAGAAACUGCCAGGAAUUUGGAAGAUGCCCACGUCUAAGACAAUGGUGAGGAUUGGGCCAAAAUCCAGAUCCAGCCUGGAUUCCUCCAUCUGAGUAGUCCUGUCGUGAGCUACGACUGCUGACGGAUCGCAGCGACAUGGACCUUUCUCUCGCCUUACUCCCCGGCAUCAGAUCACCACGAGGGCCUGAGAUAAUACUGGAUGAACCAUCACAAGACCAGGAUUGGAAAGUGUGGGGACCAAGCACACGGGGAGGUGGUCGGUGCAGCUGGUUCCCUGACUGUCGCUGGGUGGUGGUUCAGCUCUCAGUCACGGCCCAAGCUACCAGAAGUCGGAGAAAUAUUGCAUGGACUGUUCCUGUCCUGGCUCCUUAUCAGUGCUUCCAGCUGUAUGAAGCCCUGAGAACCAAGGCAACAUGAGUGCGUGACCAGGUAUUUGCUCCUCUCAUGGUCUAUACCUGAAGCACAGCACAGAGUUUCAUCCUUUGCUUCAGCAGUGCCGUCUUAAUCUCUGGUUUUGGUGGGAAGACUAUGCAGUCUCAGUGAUACUGUGCCAUCCUGUUCCCUGCUUUCAGGCUGGGGUCACAAUUUGGAUUUGGAAGAAGCAACUUCCAUGCAGAGAUGUGACUGGAAUAUGAAUACUAUUCCAGGUCAUGACCUCACCGCAGUUCCUGGAUUCUUUCUGAAAAGAUUAAAAUGAACUAAUAUACCAGUGAUCUCAUCGCAGUGUAAAGGACAUCUUACACAGGGGAAAAAAACCCAAAACCAGGAGAACUUCAAUACUUGGUUUGCAUCAAGAGUAGAAAAAGCACUAUAACAUCAUCGUGGAGAAACACUAAAAGGUACAAUGCCAGAGAGGCAUUUUUCCGUCUUCUUAUAAACUACUUGGAUUUGUCCUACUUGAUCCUGCCUGUCACACCUGUCAUCCUUUUAGCUGUCUCCACAUCUAUUCUCUUUCCUUUUUUCCUGCCUUUACCUGUACGUUCCCUUGUCUCUUCUGUGGCCUUCCUAUGUGUUUUAAUGUACCUGAUUACUUUGAAUCACAUACACUACUAUUCUCAACUACAUCCAAAAUACAUUUUGCAGAUUAUAGACACACUAUCAUGUUAUACAGAAGUAUUCACACAUACUUCAUUUAUAGCUUACGUUAUUCUGGGUAAGAACCCCUUUCCUACAUGUAUACACAGUUCUCAGGUCAGGGGGUCAUGGAUUAUGAUAGCUCUCAUCUACUUUGGAGCUGUUGUAUCUUCUAACAGAUAUCAGGAGGAUGAGUAGGGAGAACUGAUUUGUUUUCUUUGUUAUGAGAACCCAUAAAUUAGUAUUCAUGUAAUGGAGAAUCCCACCACGUUUCUAAUGUUGUAUCACAUUCUGAGGUUGGAAACUAGAAUAUCUUCAGAACAUGAUGAGUAUACUGUUAAUAAUGUAAUCUUAUCUGUUGCGCCCAUAGGUACGCCCCAGCUCUGGCUUGAGAUCACACCAUUAGGCAAUGAGGUGACAAACCGGUUUCCUUUCUCAAGCCAAAUGUCACGUAAAUAACUGCCCAGGGGCCCAUUUUGGUGGUGGUAGCAUCCCCUGACUUUUCAAGGAGAUAUGUGCCGGUGUGACCCUCUCCACCCUGUAGGCUUGGCAGGAGGAAACAAAACUGUUCGUUUCCAUCUGUGACAUUUCUCAGCCAGGAAGAAAGCCAUGAGGCAUCAGACUGUAGGCUGGGAGGCAUCAGAGCAGCCACUUGUUAGACACUCACAAAAAACCCUCCAAAAACUAUCAAGUGGAGAUGAGUUCCUGGGUUAAGCAAGCUGAUAUAAUGGGUGAUGAUACCUUCCUACCCACCCAACAAGAUUUGUUACUCCUCGAUGGAGUAACAGACAAACAUAUCCAACCCCAAAUGCUCUGCAGUUGAUAUAUCCGGUUUAGUGAAGAAAGCCCUAAUCAGUGAUGAAUAUUAUAGGAUAAAUACAUCCUGCAGCAUUAGUAGAAGUUCCAAAAGGCCCAAGGAGCAGUGCAGAGCAUCUGUUACCAACAAGAAAAUAGUGGGUGAAAAGCUGUUGUAAUUCCUGGCCCCAGAAGCCUGUCUGGAGGCACAGACUUCCCAAGGCAGAGGGGAGUUGGAGAACUCUGGAUGUUCAGCAAGAUCUCAUCCCCCUGCAGAUUCACCAGGUCAGCUCAGGCCAGGCCAAAGGAGCUGGGCAAGGUCCUCGGCUCUACUCCAAGUUUGUUGCUUUAUUGAUUGUGAAGAGGUACUUACAGUAGAUCAGGAUCUUGAACUGAGACUGGCCUACCAGCUGAAGCUGUAUGAACUAAAUCGUAUAUUCCCCAACUACAGAUAAAACCAGUGGCCACUUUUAGCCUAAUCAUCACUUCUGCCAGCGGAAAGAGAAACUCUCUGAGGUUUAUUCCUAAGUCUGUUGGAAAUGGAAAUGAUUCCAUUGACUCCAACAAACUCUGCUUUCUACUGGAUUAUGGAAGAUGUUUGUACAUCAUAUUUUCUGGUGAUGUCCCACUAAUGAAACGUGGAAUUUUAUAAACACAUCAGGGAGGUGCCGGAUCAACUCAGACCAUGAAGUUCUCAAUUAUUCCUCAUCAGAAGCCAACCCAAACAAGAACACCCUGAGAUACUGAAUUUAUGAUACAAGUGGAUUAUGUCAAGGGUUUUCCAUGAAAACUUUGUACUGGAAAGCGCCAAUCAGGCAAAAAGGUUUGGAGGGAAUAAUGUGGUUUUCAUGAGGCUUCUCAACUGAAAAAAAGAUGUUAAAGACAUUUCAAAAUCUUUGCAAG
This is a long non-coding RNA of Aquila chrysaetos chrysaetos, 4180 nucleotides long. RefSeq lists it as uncharacterized. The transcript has 10 exons. The record is from RefSeq and is a predicted model, not a curated record. Lineage: Eukaryota; Metazoa; Chordata; Aves; Accipitriformes; Accipitridae.